This is a long non-coding RNA of Aedes albopictus (Asian tiger mosquito), 23428 nucleotides long. RefSeq lists it as uncharacterized. The transcript has 2 exons. The record is from RefSeq and is a predicted model, not a curated record. Lineage: Eukaryota; Metazoa; Arthropoda; Insecta; Diptera; Culicidae.
UCUAUCUCGAGAUGUAGAGAGUCAACUGUAAAUUUUAUCAGUUAACUUUUUGUGUUCGUUGGUAUGCAUCAUUAGCCUCUUCAAUAAGCUCAGUUCCAAAACUAUGGCCCACAUAGACGAUGCGAUAACCAUAAGGGUAAUCAGCAAGAUUAUGCUGAGCAUAACACGCUCAAUUCGCGUUCGGGCCAGAAACUUUUCACAUGGAAAUUUCCAUGACUUCCUUGGGCAUUAAGUAUCUUCGUGCCUAUAAAUUGGAUUUAUCUCAAUUGGGGGUCACGCCAAGAGAAGGAAGAAUUGCUAUAACUUAUUUAUGCAUUCUCGUAUUUUCAGCCUUAUCAAUUUUCAGCCUUUUGUAAUUUCAGCCUUAUGUUACAGUUUCUCCAUUUCAGCCUUUCGUAUUCAGUCUUUGUGCAUUCAGCCUUUUGAGAUUAAGUUUUAUGUUACCAUCCCGUCAUAGCCAAUUCCUAAUAAUCACAAUAAUAAAAUUUUUAAAGGGCUGCCAGAGAAAACGUACUAAAAUUCCUGGCGGAAUACCAAAAAACAUCAGAGAAAUUCCUGAAGGCAUUUCUGAAGAUUUUUUCUUUAGGAAUCUGCCGAAGAAAGCUGUGAAAAAUGGUCAGAAUGCUUAUAGAAAUUUCCAAAGAAGUUUCGGAAUAAAUAACGGGAUGAAUUUCUACGAGAAUAUCUGGAUAAAUUCUUUAAAUAUUUUUGCAGUGGACUGAAGGAAAUUUUGUUAAAAAUGUUGAAUUAAAACGGAAUACCUUCGAAGAAAUAUUUAACGGUUUUUCCGAAGGAGUUAAUGAAAAAGUAGUUGGAUCAAUUCUUUAUGAGCCCAAGUAACACAGAAAACAUCUUGGGAAAUUAAACCUUCAAAAAAUGUAUUAUAAAUGAAUUAUAAGUGUCUUAGAAUACAUCUUGAGUUAUUUUUAGGUUCUAAUUAAGUUGAUCGAUAACAAACAGCAAAAACUUGCAUUCAUUAAACAUCGUCUUUACCUAGGUCUUUACUAUGUAUGACAUACGUUGAUUACACAAAGAUACAACAAAUAUCGAGCUCCAAAUACUCCAGUAGGCUAAAACAGCGGCUAACAUUUUCGUCAUAAAUACAUAACCUUACAUAUAUCGCGAUUUCCAUGUCUAAUCGUAGUAGGCCAAAGAACUCAUUGGAAUGAGACGUGUAAGUUCACCUUUUUCUCUCGGAUGUUAUACUUUCAACACCCUGCAGAUAUAAUCUCUAUUGACGAGUCCGAAACAGAUGUUUAAGCCUUAUCUGUCGGUACAGCAUCAACUUAUCCGAAGAACCUGAACGAUCGAAUUACGCGCUUUAGCACAAUUCAUGGUUUAAAUGUUUUAUCACUAAUAUUGAAAGUGGACAAGACAUUCGAACUCUAGCACUUCUUCAAUCCAAGCAAUUGCUCGGCAUGAAGAAUAUAUGAAGCAGUCAGAUGGUUGACAAUAAAAUCAUUCUCCGGAAAACAUGUUAAUUCCACCAUGACCGCGUCCGUCUCUCACUUUAUUUCUACCUUCCGAAUCGUCCGCGGAUUAUUCCAAACACUGAAUACAGGCUACUGGUUGAUUAAUUGACGGUCGCGCUCCAAAAUUUCACAGAAACUAUUGCAAAAUCCGACGCGGACGAGUAACAAAAAUAAUCUCAUAAUGCAAAACCAAUGUUUUGACAUUUUGACAGAUUUGGUUCUACUAAGACAUAGUUGUGAGUUAUAUUCCAGUUAUUUUGGUGUGGAUUUUAUGUUUGCUAAACACAAAUAAAUAAGUAUGUUGAAAAUAUGCUAUUUCAACGUAUUUUUGAAGGAUAUUAAAAGUUGACCGUAAUUCAUUAUUGAGUUGUUUUAAAGAUGUAAUUUCUAAGUAGUUCUGACUUACUUAGCGUAACAUGUAAAGAAAUAUUUAUGUUCCUUAGAAAAAAUCAUUUAGAUUACAGUACCGAUUGGGAAGCUGAUUAUUAUUUACCUAUAAUUGUGAUUUCCAUACAAACAAGGAUUAGUUUAAAACAAUACCAAUUUCACUCGAAGAAAAAUCAGGAACGUGACUUGGGCUUAUUUAUAAAUUUGUUCAAAGUUCAAGUAGUUCUUGGAUUUUUUGAACGGCACUGUAAGAUUGACUGAGAAUCUGCCAUGUUGUGUCAUCGUGUGGUUUCAAAAUAAAAUCCAAAAUGAGGCAUUAUUUGGAUUAUUUUCGGUACAUUAUUUUUUAUCUCAACGCAUUACGAUGGCGCUUGAAAUGUGGAGAAGUAUAAUCGGUAGUUUCACCACAAAUCUUAAACCGUAGGAAAAACACGACUACCAUUACUCAGAAAGUCCCAUUUAUUUAUUUUUUAUCUGAGUAGGUACUCUGCAUAAUUUGACUUCAUUAUUCGCAAUUUAUUUUUCUGGUUGAAAAGCUCAAUGUUAUUAUGUAUUUACACAAAUUUUAUUUUGUUUUUUUAUUGUUGAUAGUUUUUACGCUUCACGUAUUUGGGUGCCAUAUUUGAAUGUUAUAAAAAUGCUUUUUGUAAAAUAUAUAACUCCCGUAUAACUUAAUUUCAACCCUUGCAUAGGUUGUAAUAUGGUAUGUAAUAUAUAUGUUUUCUGACAGUCGUAUCACCUCAAAAUAGCCUAAUUAUAACUAAUGGAUGCGGUUAUUUUAUCCUAGUAAUCUGGAAGUUACUCUGUUUGGCAAAUAGCACAAUUACAACUAAUGAUUACUCGAAGGCAAGUUGGCACGUACCAUGCCCAAAAUUAUUAGCACUAUAAGUGAAUUACAAAACAUGUUAUAUAACUUAUAAGAUGUUCUAUAAGCCGCCAGUUUUUGCGCUGUUUUGAGUUUAUAGGUGUCGAAUAUUCAGUCUAAAUUACUAGAAAAAUACUACCAACUAAGUAUGAAACAUGAAUUUUAAACACUUAUAUAACAACAUGUGUUACUUGGGAGAUUACUGAAAAGGUUCUUCAUGUAUUUACCGGAGAAAUUUCAAGAGCAGUUACCAAUAGAGUUCCUGAAUGAAUUGUUGUAAGAUUCUCAAAAUAAUUGUAGGGGAAUUUAAAAAAAAAAACUGCACCUGGAAGGAUUUCUUGAUAAAAUUUUGAAGAAAAAUACCAGAGGAAUUCUUUUAGAAAUUACCGGAGGAAAUAAACGAAAACAUUAAUUAUUCUUAUGGCCAGGGAAGCAUUAUAUUCCAGUAUUUUUAAAUUAUUUAAAUUUCUUAAAAAUCGCAAAGGCAAUUCCAUGUGGAUAGUUUUUUUUUGGAAUAUCCUCGAAAUACUCCUUCAGGAGUCAUUUCUUAAGAAACUCAGCGACAUUUUUUUUUCUUAUUAGGUAUUCGGAAUUAGGUAUUCCAUGCCAUUCUACGAAUUUCUUUAGGUAUUGAUCCCACAAUUUCUUCCAGAGCACACCCGAGAAUUCCUAUAAGAACUUCUCCAGUGAAUUUUUAGGAAACUCCUUUGGAAAUUUUCUUGGGAAUUUCUCAGCAAAUAAAUUAUCUUGAGGAUUUUCUAUGAAAGUUACAGAACCGAAUUUAAAACGUACCGUAACAUGGGAAACAUGUUUGUCCCAUAUGUUUACAAGGUUUUUUUUAAGUUGGGAUAGGUUUCACCAAACAGAAAAAAAACACAAUUUUUGAAUACACUCGUUAAAAAACAAUAAAAUUGAGUUCUUUAGAAUGCAAACGCUUCAAAUUUGACUAUGUUUCCACAUGAAGCAGAAAUAUGUUGUCUAGCCAGAGAUCUUCAUUUAUUUGUUUGUUUAUGUUACUAGCUUUAUUGACUGUUUGACACAUGAAAUCUUUCUUGAAAAUUUCUUUAGGAAUCAAUUCGGUAAUUCUUAUCGAAACUUCAAGGAAAUUCCAGAAGACUAAUGGAAAUUCUAGAAAAAAGAUUUUAAAAAUUGUUUCGACAAGUUCGACAGUUAUUUUGAAGAACAGACAAUCCCUUUUGUAAUUCUAUUGUCAGAUCCUUCAACAUUUCCGACAGGAAACUCCUCAAUGUUCAAAGCAUUUGUCUAUAAAAUUUCGAAAAAUGGCUAAAGGAAUUUAUAAAGAGAUUGCCAAUGAAAUUUACGAAUUAUAUGUUAUGCGUGAGAAUUAUCCAAACGAAUGACCCAAGGGGAGUUCCCAAGAAAUUUUCGAAAAUAAAUCAAAAAUAUUACCGAAUGAUUUCUUAAAAAUUACAGAUAUAGCUGAGGGAAUUCUCAAAAAAAAAAAAGAAGUCACAACGGAAUCGCCAAUGUAGUUUACAAGGCAAUUUUUGAAUCAAAUUUCAAUCAAAGUUCAAGUUGAUGAACAAGUUUUAAUGCAAUUGCCGAAGGAAUAAUAAAAAAAAAAUACCGAAGCAAAAAAAAAUAUAUAUAAAAAUAUACUACACUGUCUUCAACCAGAGGCUGCACAGACUGAACGAUCACUAACAUAAGGCAACGGACAACAUGCGGAACACCCAGAGGUCCAGCGGAGAAUUUUCCGUGUGACGAAAAGAUUUCCCCGACUGAAGCGGGAAUCGAACCCACACUCCGAGGCUUUCGAAACGCCUAGAUGGCUGAUGCCGCUAACCGCACUGCCACGAAGUCCACAAAGGAAUAUUCCAAGGGAAUUUCGAAGAAAUGGGCAAAAAAGUUUUCAAAUAUAUUUCAAAAUAUGAAGAAUUGACAAACGAAUUUCGCAUUAAUUGCUGAAGAAACUCACAAAGCAAUUCCCCAAGAAACUCACAAAGAAAUUACAUAAGGAAUAUCUAGAGAAAUUUCAAAGAUAUUGCCGAAGAAAUUGCAUCACUGAAGGAAAUCCCGUAGGAAUUUAAAAAUAUAUUGCAUAUCAAAUGAAAUUGAAAGGAAUUUCCUAAUCAAUCAAAAAUUAUUAAAUCAAUUGUCAGAUAAAUUCUCUUAGAAAUUUUCCUUAAAAUAUGCAAUUACUGAAGGAAGUCUUAAAAGAAACGCCAAAGGAAUUCCCAAAAAAAAAAAUAAACUAAUUUUUGCACAUGGCGGUGAAACUUAUCUUUUGUAAAUUAUCAAUUCUCUUUGAUUGCGAUUUCAUUUAGUAAUUACGACUGGAAAUUUUAAGACUAAAAAUAAAUGUCGAAGUUUUUGAAAGGUGGUCGAAAGAAUUCCCAAGAAUAUGAUGAUGAAAUUUUGAAAGAAAUUUUCAAAACUGUUACAUGAUAAAUUUCCAAACGAAUGUCCCAAGGGAUUUGUAGAGGAAUUUCUCAAGAAAUUUUGGAAAAAGAAUAUUGGGAAUUACAAGAGACUUUCUAAAAAGAUUGUCCAUAUAAAUUAACAAAGAUAUUGUUGAAGAAAUUCUCAAAUAAAUUUUCGAAAAAACUUGUAAAGCAGUUAAUGGUGUAGUUUCAAAAGUAAAUAUUGAUUAAAAUGCGUAGAAUUACUCCAAUUAGUCUCCAGUUAGCCUAGUGGUUAAGGCUUUUGAUCGCCAAUCCGGAGACGGCGGGUUCGAUUCCCGUUCCGGUCGGGAAAAUUUCCUCGCCUCCCUGGGUAUAGAGUAUCAUUGUAAUUGCCACACAAUGUACAAAUUCAUGCAAUGGCAGGCAAAGAAAUCCCUUCAAUUAAUAACUGUGGAAGUGCUCUAAGAACACUAAGUAUAAGAGAGGCAGGCCAAGUUCCAUUGCGAACGUUGAGCCAUAAAGAAGAAUAACAGAUUGCCUGUAGACGUUUUUAAAGAAGUUCCCAAAAGAAUUGCAGAACAAAUUUCAAUGAAAUUGCAGAGGGAAUUUUCAAAACCGAAAAGAAUAACCAAAGAAAUUGUCGGAAAGAUUUUGAAAUAAAAUUUUCAAGGAACUCCUAAAAUACUACAAUGACCCAGACAGGCUCGCUGAACGAACACUGCGCUUAGCCUUACAUCUUAGGAAGGUUGAGGAUCCAAAUUCAAUUUUUUGAAUAUUUUUGGAUAAAAAUAAAACAUAAUUGUAUAUCACAACCUCUGCUAUUGUACGAAGCCUAUUUCUGAGGGAAAAAAAAUUAAGCUUGGUAGAGAAAUUACUAAGCUAACUCAGUUUGUAAUGUGCAACCUACAUAUAAUUCUCCUUCUGAAUUGAACAUCCAUAGUUCGCCACACAAGCUUUAGUUUUGAACCGUUGAGCUGUGCUCCAAUAUCUUUCAAUCACAGUCGACGGCAAAGACUGUCAGCUGAAAGCUGUGUACUUGUUGUCAGUUAAGCCUGGGAGCUGUUGUCCUUCUGACUUCAGCUGUUGUCUCCUGACUGCAUAUGGGAAAUUAACGCGGACGGCAAUCUGUGGGAAUAGAGUCAAGGAACAGUGAGCUCAGCCACUUGCGAUAAAAUAGUAUUGAACAAAACAAUAUGCAAAGAUUUUACAAGACUGUCAAUGACGUACGGAGUAAAACUGCGCCGUCUCCCGUCAGGUACAACGGCCGAAGAGGUAAGUUGCUGACAAAUAAAACUACAAAGCAAAAGAAACAUCUUGUUAAAUCUCAUCGCGCAGCUAUCUGUCGUGUCGUUUUUUUUCUUCUUCUUCUUGACGUAACGUCCCAGCAGGGACAAAGCAUGCUUCCUAGCUUAGUGUUCUAUGAGCAUUUCCACAGUUAUUACCUGAGAGCUUUUUCAGCCAACGACCAUUUUGCAUGAGUAUAUCGUGUGGCAGGCGCGAAGAUACUCUAUGGCCAAAGAUGUCAAUUCCAUUACGAAAAGUUCCUGGUUCGGCCGGGAAUUGAAUCCAUCACCCUCAGCAUGGUCAUGCAGAAUAACCGUGCGCUUACGGCAUCAGCUAUAUGGCCCCCGCCCCCUCUCGAUGCUGAUUCUGUCAGAGAUAUCAACUAAUUUCUAUCUUGCCAAAAUGAGAGGACCCGGAGGGCAAAAAUACGAGAGACAUAGGGCAAACUAAGUCGUGUUUUCCGACUUCGAUAAGGUGCUAUCCGGUUCUAGAAUUUGAAAACCCAUGCUGCGGCAGUGCUGGGUGGUGGCAGUAGCGGAAUCUCACUCGAUUAGGAUCGUCGUCGUCGUCGUUUUCUUCCGUUGGUCGGACGGAGCAAACAGCAGCAAUCUGAUGAACAGACAUCAGUUGUCGAGAACUAUGUUUACAGGAGAAGAUUCCAGCCAGCAGCACGUGUAUGGCUGCUCUUUCUAGCUUGACUCUGUGGCGGUGGUGUCGAGGAAGAAGCCCGUCGUCGGAGGAAGGAUUGUUAAAUGGGUUUUCCCAGUCGUGUUAUUCGUUUUGGAAGUUGAAUCGUUUAACAAGUCGUUCCGGAGAAAGCAAAAUGAGGUGGUUCAUGAAAUGGAGUGAUUAUGUUGAGAAAGAGUUUGGUUCUUGACUUUCGUCGAAUGACUAUAUUGGUACAAACGGGUUUGUGGUUGUUGUGAUUGGUGAGGAUUGGAGUUUAUUUGCUUUUAAGACAAAUCGUAGAUAAGUUGCAGUGUUAGAUGACUAUCACAAUAGAAUAAGGUUUACUAACGCAUGUUGGAUCACGACCGAAAAAAAAGAGGGUUAACGUGAUGUUACCUAACCAUGAUAAAUAAUCUAAAUGUCAUAACUCAUAGUUUUAGAAUGAAGCAAACCAUUGAUAAAGGAUACUUUUCCUAAUUAAAUUGAAGUCAUCUUCAACUUUGCGUUUGCAAAAUGGUCAUAGGCAGAGGAAGCUCUCAGUUAAUAGCUGCGGAAGUUCUUAUAGAACACUAAAUUGAAAAGCAUGCUUUGUCCCAGUGGGGGCGUUACGCCAGGAACAAGAAGAAGAAGAAUUAUUUCUGGUUCUCCUGAAACAAUGGUUGUUGAAUUUACAUUCCUUCUCUUCUCCAAUGACCUGAAGGACGUGACCGGCAUCCUUAUUGACUUAAAUAAAAAUCUUUGUUAUUCAUGUUUUCAGUGACGUUCGGCUUCACCAACUAUAGAACGGUCUGUUCGGAGAACAACCCCGAUGGUAACAUUCCAGAACGUCCAUGGUAUGUAACACGAUGUAACUCUCCUGGCGGAAAAAGUGCCGUUCGCAUCACUAAAUCACACAGCCAUCCGAGCAACCAAGUGUAAUAAUGUACUCUUUCGCACACACCACUUAUAGCCAGCAGCGUUAGAACAGCCCUUUUACUACUAUUGUCGUCGUCACUACACGCUGCCUGGCACUGCAACAAAGGCUCUCUCUUCUCUAUCUACAGUUCUACACCAAACCCUCAGCGGGGUGAGGUCUGCGGUUGGUGCCAUAAAUAUUCACAUUCAUAAUAAUAAAUUUGUUGCAUUUAAUAUCGGGCAGUCCGGGUCGGGCGCCGCCACGCGUUGAUUCCGGGACCAACCAGCGAAUCAACGCAGACGAUGACGACGAGGAGGACGAUGGUGUGGCGAUGCGAUGAAUUCCAUUCCAUGAGAGAUGGGGUUGGUUCACAUACAUAUAGUAGUUCGACCCCGUUCCUCGCUUUCAGUGGUUCUCGUCGCGUCGAGUGGUAAAGUGUGGAAGUAUUCUCCUACGUUUUCCAUAGUCAGUGCAAGUGGAUUCCUACACCAGGGAUUUCCAAAUAUUUUCAUACUGCGUCCUUCGUCACAUUGAAUUCAUAACCAAAGAGACGCAAACAUCGUAUGCCACCAUGUGAUAAAAAUAGGCAUUUUUAUCCAUAGUUUUCCUGGUAAACAAACUUCGUUUAUACGCUUUGUUUGGAGAAGAUUUAAAAUUCCUAACGGGAAAUGAAUAUUUCCAUCCAAAAUUUCCAAGAAAAGAGACAAUCGCGUAAUGGCGGACUUCUUGAAAUUUUGCGAUCUUCUUUUCUAGUACCUUACUGAGUUUUUCUUAGAACAUACUUUUCAAGUGAGACAUCGGGCUAUGGAUCGUCAAUCCGGAGACGGCGGGUUCGAUUCCCGUCCCGGUCGGGAAAAUUUCCUCGACUCCCUGGGCAGAGUGUAUCAUUGUGCUUGCCUCACAGUAUACUAAUUCAUGCAAUGGCUGGCAAAGAAAGCCCUCCAAUUAAUAACUGUGGAAGUGCUCAAAGAACACUAAGUUGGAGAGAGGCAGGCCAAGCCCCAGUGGGAACGUAGAGCCAUACAGAAAAAAAGAAGAAGAAUCGAGUCUGCAGUCUGCAAUAAACAAGCGUGUCGUCUCAAGGGGUUACAUAUGAUGAGGUGCGUGAAAAUAAGGAAAAGUUUGAACUUUUGUAAAAGUAAGUAACUAAGUUUUUUUUUACAAAUUUUCGUUUUAUGCCAUACAUAGUACAAUAUUUAAUGUGUAAAAUUAGCUUGUGAAUAUAAAAAAAAUGUAUAAUUACCAAAGUUAUAACAUUUUAAGUAAAACGUGUUUUCUUUAAAGAGGUUUGCCGUGAUUAUGAUUACAGUCCAAUGGCUCAACUACCAGCACAAAUCCAAAAGAAAAUCGUUACUAGAGGAGCUUGUGGUGUCCUCGAACGACCAUAAUAUAAAACAUGUUAUAAGUUUUCAAACAGGGAGGAUUCUUUUCCAAGAAAAUCACUUUUUUAAUGCAAAAAUGUACACAUACGUACACAUUAAAAAAAAAAAAUACAUCGUAUAACCUGUAAAAAAAAGGCUCCGUGCGAUAUGACGGUAUAUGAUAUGAUAUAUUUUUCCAUCAACUUAUAAAUCUAUAGCUUGCUCUAUAGCUUGAAAUAUAAUAGAAAUGUAUAUGAUAAACUUUUACGUUGGGUGUAACUCUCAGAAAUUUUUGCCGUGUAUAUGAGCAAAAAACCUGAAAUAUUCAAAAAAAAAAAGAUGCAACGGCUUGAAGAACAUUUUUAUUUUUUUUAAAUGUUAUGUAAAAAUAGUAGAACUUUCGUUAAAAAACCCAGAUUUAUCCACCUAGUGGUGAUAGUGCCUUUCUCGUCAAAUAUGUACUCAUGAUCUUUCCGUCGACGCAAUCAACCUUGCCUUAGAGUCAGUGAUCAGCCCCAAAUCUCUGUGCUUUGGCAAUGGACGAGAAGGGGGAAAUGCUCAUAACAGCGAUCUGGGAGUGUACCACCUACGAAUUUCUGAAUCAUGAGAAUACUUUAUUUAGAAAAUCAAGAAUUUUAUCAAGGUCAUCAUCGAAUUGGGGCACUUAUUCCGACGUUAUAUUCAACGUAUGGGCAGAGCUGAAAGUAUCAGUCCUUUCAGUUGACUGCAUGACCACCUUCACUGGAGGCUGAUUCAUACCAAGAUGACAAUUACUAGCCAGGAUUAAACUUUUUCCACAGAACACUUUGACAAAGUUUUAUCUGCACAUUUUAUGCUAUAUUUUAUUAUCAUUGGUUGCAAAAUUCAUGUAGAAUUUGUAAUGUAGUAAUUUGAAUUGCCAAUGCUAUAUCACAUUCAAAUAUCAACCACAUUACAGAGCUCGCCCUCCAGCCGCAUCAAAAUUUUGCGUAGUAAUUUUAGACGCAAAUAAAGUUUUAAAAGAAUGUUCCGGGCUGAUGCGCUUAAAUUUUAAUUUUUCCAUACAACGUUGAUCCAUCCUACUGUAAAUUUACGUCUCAGGAAUCUAAAAUGGUGUGAUUUGAUGAGAUCGCUUUAGUUUUUUUUAGGUUUUUGGUUCUCUUACACAUAUCUAUCGCUUGCAUUCAUUUAGUUCACUUUCAUAAUUUCGCGAAAGCACCCAACGCUGCUUCUGCAACACCACCGGUAGCCUCUUAUGUAAUCUGAGUAUAUUUUGUAUUGCUUACGAGACCUCCGGAAAUGAUUCCGUAACACUACCGGUAUAUUCAAAUGUGAUCUGAGUUUAUGAAAACUGUUAAUCAGGUUUCCCGGAACUAAAAACACUACCGGUAGUAACUUCUGUGGACUGUGCCUAUUUUCUUAUCAUUCAUGCAUCAGGUUACUGACAAAAAAGCGAUUUGAUGUACCGCAAGCAUGGGUUUGAUUCACUUUUAUGUAUGUCCACUUCCAGUGGGACGCCCUUAACCGGUUCCGGAAAACUUACAUGGCUCAUUUUUAUAUUUGACCAAUUCCGGCGGGACACCAGGAACCGGUUCCGGGAUGCUACCGGUUCAGAUAUGAUCUGAGACUAUUUUCCUGCUUAUCGUUCCUCAGGUUAUAGAAAAAGCAGCGAUUUGAUGUGUCGCAUGCAUGGGUUUGGUUCACUUUUAUAUUUGGCCACUUCCGGCGGGAUACCCGGAACCAGUUCCGGAACACUAAUAGUAAUAGUAAUAUCGGAUGAUAUUUACUAUCCAAAAGUGAGGUGACCUUUUUGUACACAUACACACAUACACACGCACACACAUACAUACACACACACACAUACAUACACACAGACAUCAUCUCAACUCGUCAAGCUGAGUCGAUUGGUAUAUAAGACUUGGCCCUCCGGGGGUUCUAUCAAAAUUUAAUUUUUGGAGUGAACAUAUAGCCUUUUUUCGGUACACCUUGGUGUACGAGAAAGGCAAAAAGUGCAUUUUUCAUCAGAAAUGCAGUACUGGUCAUAUUUUAUACAAAAUGGUCAUAUUGGGAGACCUGUACCUAAAGUUCUGCGCCAAUCAUCCUGAAAUUUUAACUGAAACUCUGAAGUAAUUUAAAAUAUUAUUGACGAAUAACUUUCAAAAUUAUAAUUAAACAUUUUGAAAUUUUGAAGAAUUGUUUCGUGGGGGCUUUUUAGCUCUGACAAAAAAAAACUUUUUUUCUCGAGACUGGCAAGCCACCACGAAACAGUUACAUUUUGAUAAGACUAGCAAUUUACCUAAAAUAUUUCUAAAACAAUAAAUUUCAGAAACUAAGUUUACUUUACAAAGUUAUGUAUACAGCUAGAGUAAACAAAUUUGCGGUAGCGCUUAAGUUGAUAUGGGUAUUAUGUCAAUGUAUCGCCCUCGUUGUGGAUCAUCUUUGCUAAAAUAGUAAACGAUUUUCAUUUAUGUAGCCCUUCGAUAGAGAUUUUCAACGAAACAUGAAAAUUAGGGAGAAUUGGGGCAAAAUAGGCCACAUCUCAUGAUCUGUCUUAGUAGAAAUCAAUUCUAUUCCGUUUAUAAAAAUAGUAUUUCCAUCACGAUUUCUUUGAUUGGCAUGGAAACAUUGAAAGCAGCUUAAGAGUCUAUGAAAAAACUAGUUUUACAUAACUGAUAAGUAGUAUGAGGCAAAAUGGGGCAUUCAAGUAAUCUAGACAACAAAGAAAUGUUCAACUUCAAUCGAGAAUAGCCUGUGCUAUGAUAUUUAACAUUUUUCUGGAAUAUAUAUAGGCGGCAGAGGUUUAUAUUCACUUCUUUGUUAUGUUUUGAAUUAAAAUAGUGCAAAAAAGGGAAAAUGGGGCAAAAUGGGAAAUUUUCCGUGGUCUAGGUCUUUUAUCCUUUUCUAAACCAGCGGCUUCUAAAAGUUGCGAUUUUGGGUCCACUGUGCACUGAUAUACAACAAGUUGAUGGACUUACAAUAAAAAUUUGUGAAUAUUUGAUGCCUUUUUCGAAAAGUUACAGCUAGUUGAACAUUUUUUAAAAAAGUGAAAAAUUUACCUGUCCCAAUUAUUUUGACUAUCCCACAUGCAUAUAUGGAGUUCGGACAUCUUCCCCAUAUCAAACAUACCCAUAUUGCAUGGUUUCAGAGACUGACACUUCAUAAACAGCUGCCUUCUUAUAUUGUGGGUCAUCGGCGUGAAUUUUAGGCCGACAUCGUUGAUUUUCUGGCCUUCAGUGUUAAUAUCUGCACAAAAUUCGAAAAGGUUACAAAAAUCAGCUCAGUUUGAUGUGUCGUUUGGGGAUUUUCUUUUAUUACCGAACGGGUUUGGGCCGAAGGGUCUCGGAUUUUCAUGAAAAUUUUUCCUCAGGUAGGGUUCAUUGAUAUUUGAAUAAAAAAUUGGGAAAAAUUCAGGGCCGCCUAUUUUCCCGGAAAACUCAGGUGGAAAUUUUUGGUAGUGUCAUAUACUUACUUUGAAAAAUCAUAACUUAAGAACGAAGUAUCGUAGGAAUAUUUUUUUUCUUUUAGGAAAAUGAAAGAUAAUUUUCUCAGGAAUCCAAAAAAUAUAGGAGCUGGAAAAAGUUUUUCACAGUUGAGAAAAUUCGUAAAGAAAAGCCGCAAAAACAAUGCUCAAACUCGUGGAAAAUUUAAAAAAAUAUGAGAAGGUUGAGCUUUGAUAGCCGAAAUUUUUGGAAUUCACUUUUUUUUAGUUAUGGCAAAUUCUGUGAAAAAUGUCCAAAUAUACCAUAUAAGCCUUUUCAUAACUCAAAGACGAAGCAUCGUAGAAACAAAGUUUUUUUUUAUGAAAAUGAAAGCAAAAUGUCUCAGGAAUAAAAAAAAAAAAAUAUGACCUGGAAAAAAAUUUCCUCAAAAUUUUCCACCGUUGAGAUAAUUUAUAAAGAAAAGUAGGAAAUACUAUGCCCGAACUCGUGGAAAAUUAUCAAAAAAAUAUUUUCGAGAAAGUAAUUUUAUAAGUUUUUAUCGCUGAAAGUUUUGGAAUGCGCUUUUUUCGUUCCUGAGUUAUGGCCAAUGUUGUGAAACAUGACCAUGUAAUAUAGGCUCAUAUGGUCAUUUUCCAAAAAAAUGGCAAUUCACUCAGGAACGAAAAAAGUGCAUUCUAAAAAAUCCAGCAAUUACCUAAAGCUAAUGAGAAAUAACCUGCUCAGAAAUAUUUUAUUAAAAAAAUUCCAAGAGGUUGGGCAUAGUUUUUCCGGCUUUUCUUAAUGAAUUUUCUCAACGGUGGAUUUUUUUGGAAAACUUUAUCCAGUUCAAACUUAUGAGGGGAACAAAGCCCAAAAUGCCAAGAUAGGGUAAAAUGGCCCAACUAAUAAAAGCAUUCCUGAAUGGGACUUGAUCAUUACUAUAGGUGAAUGGUGUCAAGAUAUGUUUGCAUCGAACAUUCUGCUAGAAGCUAUGCCACUAAACCCAUGAAAAAUCUUUUGAUUUCCCAAUGAAAAUAGGCAACUUCCGGUUUUUCGUGCUUGCAAUUAAGGUUUUCUGGUGAUUUUAUUACCAGCCAAGUGUUUCCAACGAGAUUGAGGCACACAUGGAGACGCAUGGUUGUUGAUGCCUACGCUUUCUAUGUUAGGGGUCAUUCAAAUAUUACGAUCAUCGUUUUGCGGGGAGGGGGUAACACUCCAUUUAUUGAGUAUAUGAAAAAAAGCGGGACAGAGGGGGAAAAGGAGUCGAAAAUGCCUGAAAACUGAUGGACGUAAUUUUUGAAUGUUUUCAUGAAUUGGCAUCUUACCCCAUGGCAGAUGGUCGUUUUGCACCACUUCCGUUUUACGAAUCAGUUUUUAAAACUGCUAGAAAUCGAUGAAAAUGCAAUAGUUUAGUGAAUAGUUUUGCAGAAGUAUCGAGCAAAUAUUGUCUAGUUGCUGUUACCACUUCGAAAGCCUAACAAAUGUGACUAAUUAUCAUUGAAAACGAUGAAAGUUUGAAAAAUGGCAUUUUACCCCACUUGACCCGACUUAUUUUUAAUAACACGCAAAAGCUGCGCUCCGCUAAACGAAAGAUAUCAUACUGAGUUUUUCAUUCAUUCUAAAAAAAUAGGAUUGGUUCACAACAACUCAAGAUGUAAUCAGUUUGCAAACCCCUGCCCCGCACGGUUGAUGUUGUGCCAACAGCGAAACAGCAACCAUGCAUGCACUGCAAAUGCACCUCCGAUCUCUGCGGAACCGUACUCUUAACGCCACGGUGCGGUGCGACGGCAGUCCAAUGAGCGAGGCGCGGCAAAACGAAAAAUGUACUUCCCACACGUAUGGAUUGUAAGAGAGUGCACUUGCACAUCGUCCUACCACCCACCGGGCAGCUCCCACAGACCCGCCCAGCCAUCAUCCAUCGUGCGCUGCUCUUCAAACCACUCUUAUUCAUUGUGAAUACAUGGCAUAUGUUGGAAAAACGAUAGUCCUGCUAGAGACUCCUCUUCGGUGCUCCUGACUACUGGAAGGUCUGGGGUGGUGCCGGUGAACGGUGGCAGAGAGCGCGCGCCAGAGUACAUAACUGGGGUAAAUGUGCAGCAGUGCACUGACUGGUUGUGUGUGUCCUGAAGGAGUUCUGGAGUGCACGCGGUGGAGGCGCAGGGUAGAUUGUGUGAACGUUCUUUUUUUUGCGCGCUCUCUAGUCGGACUCGACCGUGUCUGGGGAAGCUCAACGUUCAACUCUAUCGUUACUCGGCGAGGUCGGGGGGAUGCCGGAGUAAAAUGUUCUUUAUUAGGGUAAUAUUGGGGGAAGUCGUUCCACUGAAUGGAACAUUUCACACCAAUUCCUCUUACAAGUUACGAUCGUCGACGGCGACGCUGUAUUUUGCGGUAAGUCGGAAGGGCGCGGAAAACUAGAGGGCGGGUUAUAGUGCCACUUUUUAGUGGCUUUGAACGAGCUUUGGUUGUUGGUUGUUGGCAACACCCGUCUGACUGCUGCUGCUCCACAUGGGAGGAAUGACGACGAUGAUGACUACCAUUGCUCCCACCAUCCCACCCAGUCAGUGGAAAGCAUGACUUCAAUGAUGGGCACCACACACGAUGAUGAUGCAUGUCAGGAUAUAUGUUGGGGGCGCGCACAUGGUAUGCAAUCGAAAGCCCCAUGCUCUCGUCGGGAUGGUACUUACAUUUUUCAUCCUUCUACGAAACGAUCCGUGGUUCCACGUCACUGCACACGUCUCGUCGCGGCAUGUGUUUCCCAUGCUUGAUGAAGGUGGAUGGCACUCUGUUGCACUGACUUUCGCUACGGCGGCGGUAUGACGGCAGAGACGGAUAAUUCUAUAGACUAGAAGUUGCACGUGUGCCUUUAGAAUAUAUUUGAAUUUGGAACUCUACAGCUGUUCAUGUGUCUCUUAUUGGCUCUUCGCACCCUAUUUGUACAUCUUAUAAUCACUAUUUUUAUUAUUAGGAAUAUUGUGGUAUGUUUGAUACCAGUUAUAGGUUGACGUAGAUGUCAUGAUGUCUUUAAGGCGGAAUGGCACUAGAUAUAAGAACACAAAUGGACUGCAAAAUUGUGAGUGGACAAGGAGCGUACAACACAGUUCUGGUCUUCACAAGCUACCUCAUGCUUCUACGGGUCAAUCGAUGACACAAACCGCCACCUAAGAAUUACAUGCUUAGAUAGUAGUGCAGCCUAAGCACUGUUGUCCUUGUGACUUCAGCUAGAUUGAAAAGGUAGGACCCGAGCGUCUGUUCACCAAGGAAGUACAGCUCAAACGGCAUCUGUCCUGUCCAGUGACUGAACAUGAAACGCUGUAUGGCGUCAGCUAUGCCUAAGGUGGCAGCUGGCAACGCGAUGUAGGUAGCGCAACCCUGGUAAGGUAACCUGUCGAAGCCUUCCACCACCAUGAAACAUGAAGAUAGAAAAGGAAAAUGCCAACGAUACUCGCGGAAAUCGACUUGGUAAGAAAAUAAGGACUAUGAUUGGAAACUUGAUUCCAGGAACGUCAGUACCUAAAAUGAACCUGGACGCGUGAGCCUUUUCCCGAGAAGGUAUCAGUAACUGGCGCCCAACUGCAGGAUACCAAAUUCAGGUAUCAUACCGAUACAAGGUAUUGUUUGGUUACCCUGGUGUUCAAAAUAACUUAUUUAGGUAUUGUGUCACUGAAGACAAAUGCCUCAUGACAUUUAUGAAGGAAUACUCUCAAAGAUUUUGUUAAAAUUUCAUCCAGAAAUUUUUCUGAAGAAUUUCUCCAUGAAUUCUACUUGAAACUUUUAGGACAUUCUUUUUUGGAAAACCUCCACGGGUUUCCCAUGGACUGGUUCUAGCUGUUCCUCCAAAUAUUCCUUAACCCUCUAAUACCCAAAUUUUUGAUUUUGAUCUAAAUAUCAUUUUUCGUCAUCUAAAAUCGAUUUAAAUAUGUUUUGGAAGAUGAUUCUUUUCAAUUCCCGAUUUCGUGAAUUUCUGUUUUUGAUUUUUCUAAUUUUUAUUUUUUAACAUCCCCACACUUUUAUAUUUUUCCUGGAAGCCAAUUUGGGGAACGGAUUUUUUGAGAUGAAAACAUUUUGAGAUUUUAUGAUGAUUGUUAAAAUAUUAUUAUUUAAAAAUAUUUUCACAGAAAAUUUUAUUUUCCGUUUAAUUUUAAGGAAAAUAAUUUUAGAGUGUAUUCGAUUCCCUUAAACUAUUAAACAAAGAUAGAAUGAUUUGGGAAAAAUUUAAAAUAUGUUAAUUGUAGCGAUUCAAUACAAAAUAAACAAUGUCUUCUAAAAGGUGACUAAAACAUCAAUUUUUCAAUGAUUUUUAAAAAUGUAAAUACGCUUUAAAAUACACCAAAAACCAUUUUAAGAUAUACAGAACAGUCCUUGAUAUCAGCCAAAAAUAUUAAAAAAAUGAUUUUCCACGAUACAAAAAUUACAAAAAUGCUCAAACUAUACCCCGUCUAAAGGCGGGAUUGGGUAUUAGAGGGUUAAAACAAUAUCGCAGACAUUCUUUUAAAGUUUUUGCAGGAUCACAUCUAGAAAUUCCAGCAGUAAUUCCUCCAGAGUUUUCUUCAAAAAUUAUUUUAGAGGUUCUUGCAGUCAUUCCUUAUGAAUGCCUUCAGAUUGUUUUUCUAGAGUUCGUUCAAACUGUUUCGGGAAAUUUUCAAGAAAUUAUACAAGGGAUAUCGCCAGAGGGUUCUUCAGUUCUUUCUAGUAUUGCUUUAGAGAUUCCAUAAAAAUCCUUUAACCCUCUAAUACCCAACCCCGCCUUUAGACGGGGUAUAGUUUGAGCAUUUUUGUAAUUUUUGUUUCGUGGGAAAUAAUUUUUUUUAUAUUUUUGGCUGAUAUUUAGGACUGUUUUGUACUUCUCAAAAUGGUUUUUGUUGUAUUUAAAAGCGUAUUUACGUUUUUAAAAAAUCAUUGAAAAAUUGAUGUUUUUGUCACCUUUUAGAAGUCAUUGUUUAUUUUGUAUUGAAUCGCUAAAAUUAACAUAUUUUAAAUUUUUCCCAAAUCAUUCUACCCUAGUUUAAUAGUUUAAGGGAAUCGAAUACACUCUAAAAUGGUUUUCCUUAAAAUUACAAGGAAAAUAAAAUUUUGUAUGAAAAAAAUUUAAAAUAAAAAUAUUUCCACAAUAAUCAUAAAAUCUCAAAAUGUUUUCAUCUCAAAAAAUCCGUUCCACAAAUUGGCUUCCAGGAAAAAUAUAAAAGUGUGGGGAUGUUCAAAAAUAAAAAUUAUAAAAAUCAAAAACUGAAAUUCACGAAAUCGAGAAUUAAAAAGAAUCAUCUUCCAAAACUUGUUUAAAUCGAUUUUAGAUGACGAAAAAUGAUAUUUAGAUCAAAAUCAAAAAUUUGGGUAUUAGAGGGUUAAAUAGUUUACCCAGUGAUUCCUUGAAGAAUUUCUCUAAGACAAUGUAUUUUUGUCAGGAAGCUUUUUACUCAUAUCUUGAGAAAUUCUUCGGAACAUAAAUCUAUGAAUAAAAAUAGAUUAUUUUUGCAGAAACUCUCGGAAGAAUACCAGGGAAACUUCUUGGGAAACGCUUUUUGAAACUCCAAGAAAAAAAAACGUUGAGAAAUUUUCUGAAUAUAUCCUUCAAUAGAGUACUUGAAGGAAUUUCUAAAAAAAAACUGUUAUGGGAAUUUCUAACACCUCUUGGGACAUUUCCAAUGAAACUGCUAUAGAGAUUCCUUGGAGGACUUCUGGAGCAAUGUUUGACUCCGUUGAAAAAAUCUCAGGAGCAUCGUUGGAGAAAAUGCUGGAGGAAUUUCUGGGGAAAUAAACGGAGGAAUACUAUUGGAACUUCUGAAUUAUACGAAUGUCUGCAAGAAACUGUGGAAGAAUUGCUGCUAGAAUCACUGAAAGUAAUUAUGCAAGAACUCCUAGAGCAAUUCUUACUGGGUUUUCUGGAUAAAAUCCAGGAGUAAAAAUCCUGGCAUUAUUCCUGCGAACAUAUUCAACAUUGAAGAAAUUCUCGAGGAAAACUCUGGAGGAUUUCGUGAAAAAAUGGCUGCACAAAUUCCUGGAAUCACAGGAAUAUAUUCUGGAGGAAAUAAAACGCUGCUGAACGAAUUCCUGAAAUAAUCUUUUUAACGAUUUCUAAAUGCAAAGAUGCUGAUAAUCUCAAUUAUAAAAAAAACUUCUAAAGAAGUUCUGAUUCUUUCGAAAGGAUUCUUUGAAGGGACCCUAGAAUUUCUGAAGUAAUCCCAGGCGAAGUUUUAGAGGGAAGCCAUGGAAAAUUUAAUGCAAUUUUGGAAGGAAUAGAAGAUUUUCUUAAGGAGAAAUUUCUGAAGGAAUACUUUUGAAGAAUUUCGAAGAGCAACAUUAUAGAACUUUUCAUGGAUCUCAGAAUGAUUACCUUAUGAAAUCCCUUUCAGGACUUUCUUAAAGAACCAUUAAAAUGAAACCUUUGCGAAAUUUAUGACGGAUUUUGGAACCCGUGAAUAAGUUUUGAAAAGAAUCUCAGGAUCGUUUUCUGAAAGAAUUUAUAGAGCAUUUUCUGAGCAAAUUCAUGGAACUCUUGAGGAAUUUCUGUAGCAAUCCAUGGAUGUUUGUUUAAAAGAAUCCUUGUAAAAAUUGCUGAACGAACAAUUUCGGAAGGAAUCCUGCAGAGAUUUAUCAAAGAGUUUUUCUGUACCCGAGCAGAAAGGAAUAAGAACAUCAUAAGGUGCUGUAUUAUUUGGGCACGAUAACUGAAUAAUGGAAGCAAUUAUUUUUAAUUUAUUAACAUAACAUUCUGUGUUAUAAACUUUUAGUAAUUUCUAUAUUUUCAAAUACUUCCAGCUUUAAUUUAUAAACCGUUCUACUUUAAUUGUUUUUGGAACACGGUUUUGAAAUCAACACGUAAUUGUGUUUGAAAAAGCUUUGUCGUCGAUAGCAAUUUGUGACUUUUGUUUUGUUUUAUUAGCACUGAAACUGAAGAUUUUUUAGAGUGCUCAACAGUUUUGCAGAUUUUUUUUUGGAUAUUGGAAAUAUUUCACAGAUUAAUAUAUUUUUUUCUGAAAACUCCGUUUUUUUGCUCCAAAUUUUCCCUGGAUUUAAUAGUUAUGUCGAAAAUUUCUCUGAUGACUCCUACAAGAAUUUCACCUGAAAUUUCUGCAAGGUUUCUCUAAGGAUUCCGCCAAAAAUUACAUCUAUGUUUAUCAUGCGACUUUUGUGAGAUUCUUUUCAGGAAUUGGUAAUUCCAGAAAUUCGUCGACAGAUUUCGUCAUAAACUUUUCCAUAAAUAACUCCGAACAAUCUUUCAGAAAUUUUUCCGAUAGUUCUUCUCCGGAAUCUUUCACGGAUUUUCAAAGACUGCUCUUGAAACUUUUCCAGAAUUCUUAAUUGAAUCCCUUCAAGGAUUUCUUCAGAAUUUACUGUGAUUAUGUCCCGAAGUUCAUCUUAAGAUUUCUGUAAAAAAAUCUUUGAAAAUUUCACCAGGAGUUUAUCCGAAGGAUUCUUCAAGAUUAUUUCAAAAGAUUGCUUCAAAACUUUCAAUAAUUGCUCAGAAGAAUUACUUUUGAAAUUUCUAAGGAAAUAGCGCCAGGAAUUUUUUUUGAAGACUUUUCCAAGAUUAUGCGAAGGAUUCCUCCAGAACUUCCAAGUGUUUUUCCAAAUAAUAUAACAAACCAAAGGAACAGAUCAUAAUAGUGGAAUUGUUGCUUUAAUUUCAAAAAUUGUUACUGUUGUGGUAUUGUUGAUAAGUUAUUCAAUAGUACAACAAUAACAAAACUUGUUCUUCUACAAAACAUGUCACUGAAAUGUUAUUUAAUCAAUGUAGCUUGAUUAUAGCAAAGUGAGAUUGUCCAACAAAAUUUGUUAUGGAAAAGCUUUGCCUUGAUAAUUUAAUAAUAACAACACAAGAUAUAAAAACAGGUUAUGUAAUUUCGUGAUUUUUCAUUUGCUAUUCUCCUCUGCUCGGGUAUCUGGAUGAAUCUGAAUCUAACUUCAGAUGAAAUCAUGAAUGAAUCAAUGGAUUUUCUAAAGAAAUUCCCGUGGAAGAAUUCUUGAAGGAACUCUCACAGGUAUCUCAGAAAGAUUGCUGGCAAAAUUACUAAAGAUUUCAUAGGAGGCUUUCUAAAGGAAUCACUAAAGAAUUUUCUAAGAAAAUCAAUGGUGUAAUUUUUGAAGAAAUCCGUGAAUGGCUUUCGAAAUUAAUCCUUCGAUAGUAUUUUUAGAGGAAUCUCUUGAAGAAUUUCAGAAAUGAGUUCAUGAAGGAUUUCUGAUAAAAUUCGAGAAGGAAUAUCUUAAGCAGUCCUGCAAGGUUUUCUAGAAUCAACUUUUGAGAAAAAUAUGCAGAAAAAUCUAAUGAAAUUUCCAAAGAAAAUUUGUAAAUGGUUUAUUGGAACAUUUUUGAAAGAGUACAAGUAAAGGAAUUGCCGAAUGAAUACUUACGGAAGUAUUCGAAGUACCUGGAGGAAUUUAAAAAAAAAAAAUAAUUUUUCAAACGGCGGUUGCAAAGAUUGAACGAUUACUUAAAUCACAAAAGACAUAUUUAGAAAAAAUGAAAAAACCUCAGGACAGGACAAAUUUCUGAAAGAAUCCCCGGAAAAUUUAUAUUAUUCGGAGGAAUUUCUGGUGGAGCCUUUGGGAGUAUGUAUCAAACAUUAGAUUUUUUGCAACAUGUACAGUUAAUUAUAGCCUAAUUUUCCGGAAUCUCCAGUGGUAAACAAACAUUUUCCACAGACACCUACUUUUAAAACUAAUAGCUCAAGAACAAAGCAUCGUAUACACAAUUUUCUCAGGCAAUUGAAACAAAAUGGAAAUGGGUUUUCACAAAAUUUUCCACUGUUGAAGGAAAUCGGUUGGAAAAUCGGAAAAACUAUUUAGGAAGUCCGGAAAAAUUCUCAAAACAAAUAUUUCUGGAAGAAAAUUACAUAAUUCUGUGAAAUUUUCAAGAUGUGUUUUACCCUUCUUACACCCAUAAGAAGGGUAUAAAUACCGCUUGGAAAACCGACUUUCGAUCCGAGGCCCGCAGGGCCGAGUCACAUAUACCAAUCAACUCAGCUCGACGAAUUGAGCAAAUGUCUGUAUGUGCGUGUGUGUGUAUGUGUGUGUGUGUGUGUGUGUGUAUGUAUGUUACAAAAAAAUGUCACUCACGGUUCUCAGCCGUCUGUUGACCGAUUUGAGUUCUCUUGGAAGCAAAUGAAAGCUACUACAUCCUAGUAGAACGCUAUUGAAUUUUAUUUUGAUUGGACGUUCGGUUACCGAGAUAUCUUUCAAAGAGUGCUAGGGAGUAGUACAACUUAAUUAUUUUAGAUAUUUUUGACAAAGUGUAUCACCAUAAAUUUCUCAGCCGUCUAUCAACCGAAUCGGGUUCUUAAGGCUCGAAACGAAAGCUACUGCACCCUAGAAGAACGCUUUUGAAUUUCAUUCCGAUUGGACAUUUUGUAACCGAGAUAUCUUUCGGGGAGUACUUUGGAGUAAUACAACUUAACUUUUUAAGAGGUCUUUGACAAAAUGCUUCAUAAUAAAUGAAUCAGCCGUGUGUCAAUCGAUUUGAGUUCUCUCAGCAUCAAAUAAAAGCUACAGCAUCCAAGUAGUAUGCUAUUAAAUUUCAUGCCGUUUGGACAUUUUGUUUCUGAGAUAUCUUUCCACGAGUACUAAGGAGUAAUGAAAUUUACGCUUUUGAGAGAUUUUUGAUAAAAUGUAUCAUAAUACAUUUCUCAGCCGUUUGUCAACAGAUUUUUUAUGAUCAUAUUUGGUUACACAAGUUAGUUAUACAUGAAAAUGCAAUUGCAUCAAAUACAUAAAAGCUACUAUCUCUUUGUAAUAUUUGAGCUUAAUAAACAGUAGCAAAAAUAUCAUUGAAUGUAUGUAGGAAAAGCCUUUUUACCCUUCUUACACCCAUAAGAAGGGUAUAAAUAUCGCUCGAAAAACCGACUUUCGAUCCGAGGCCCGGAGGGCCGAGUUUCAUAUACCAAUGAACUCAGCUCGACGAACUGAGCAAAUGUCUGUAUGUGUGUGUGUAUGUGUGUAUGUGUGUGUGUGUGUGUGUGUGUGUGUGUAUGUGCGUUACAAAAAAAAGUCACGCACGUUUCUCAGCCGUCUGUCAACCGAUUUGAGUUCUCUUGGAAGCAAAUGAAAGCUACUACAUCCUAGUAGAACGCUAUUGAAUUUUUUUUCGAUUGGACGUUUGGUUACCGAGAUAUCUCUCGAAGAGUACUUAUGAGUCAUACAUCUAAACUUUCUAAGAUUUUUGACCAAGUGUAUCAUACUAAAUAUCUCAGCCGUAUGUCAAUCGAUUUGGGUUCUCUUGGCACCAAAUGAAAGCUGCAGCAUCCUAGUAGAUCGCCCAGAAAUUUUAUUUUGAUUGGACAUUUGGUUACAGAGAUAUCUUUCGAAGAGUACUUAGGAUUUAUACAACUAAACCUUUUGAGAUUUUUGACCAAAUGUAUCAUAAUAAAUAUUCUGGCCGUCUGUCAACCGAUUUCGGUUAUCCUGGCACCAAAUAAAAGCUACAACAUUCUAGUAGAACCCUAUACAAUUUUAUUAGGAUUGGACAUUUGGUUACCGAGAUAUCUUUCAAAGAGUACUUGGGAGUAAGGUUAACUUUUUGAGAGAUUUUUGACCAAGGGUACCAUAAUAAAUAUCUCAGCUGUCUGUCAACCGAUUUGGGUUCUCUAAGCACCAAAUAAAAGCUACAAUAUCCUUGUAUAAGGCCCUGAAAUUUUAUUUCGAUUCGACAUUUGAUUACUGAGAUAUCUUACGAAGAGUAUUUCAAUAAAUUCUUUUUUUAUUAAUCUAUUCACUUACUUCUUAUCUUGCAUUAGUUUUUGA